Molecule: long non-coding RNA, 1996 nt
Organism: Triticum aestivum (bread wheat)
Lineage: Eukaryota; Viridiplantae; Streptophyta; Magnoliopsida; Poales; Poaceae
Exons: 10
Source: RefSeq, a predicted model, not a curated record
CUCCUCCCUCGUCCCCUCUCUCGCCGCCGCACCCAAACCCUAACCCCACUCCUCUCCCCCGAUUCAGAUGCACUCCUCGCAGCCGACACCUCCCUCCCGCCCCCGAUUCAGCCGAUCCCGCUGCCAGCACCCGCACGCCACCACCCGCUCCUCCUCUCCUACCAGAUCGUGCCGCCACCUCCCUCCCCAUCCCCUCCUGGAUCUCUCCCUCGGUGAGCCCCUCUUCUGCCCGUGCACGCACAGCCUCGGCUCCUGCUGCUCUUCCCGAUUGAGGAGGGGGAGGAGAGCAAGAGGGGCAGCAUGGUGGCCAGCGAGGGGAGCACCAUCACGGGAGCCGCGUCCACCCGGUCAUGCUCAAUUCGUGCCUGCUGCUCUUGGUGGUGUGCAGAUCUGGCGGUCCGACCCCAUGGAGACCGAGCAGGUCGUGCUGCCACUGCCUCCCUUCCCUUGAGUCCAGCCGCCUCAUGAUUGAUGGAUGAUGAUGUAGUUGGCCGCUGCCGAUGCCACGGAGCUUCCAUGGCCUAGCAGUAAGGGGGAAGAAGAGACAGCGGGAUGGAAGGAAGGAGGCCGCCGGGGAGUGGGGUGUUGUACUCGAUGGAGAUAGCUGACGCCCGGGUAACCCCAUAAUCCAAGAUUAACUCUGCAAGUGGAAAACGACCAUGGGUUAUGGAUGGGAUCUUGUUUGUACCCUCGCCUCCCAUCCAUGGUAGCCUCUUUCUCCUAACACAAUUAGUAUUUGUCUAUUAUUUACAAUUCUAGAGUGGCAUUCUUUGUUGAAUAAGGGAUUGCCGAUCUGUCGAUGACUCAACUGAGUUGGGCUUCGGUUUGUGUGUCCCUUUCAGGUGGUUCAAUUGGUAUUGCUGCAAGUCAUCCAGUUUCUGUGUGAUGGAUGGUGGCGAGGCGCAUUUGAAGGAGAGGUUGGCCAAGGUGUACGAGGUCAAGGCGCAGUUUAAGGAGAGGCCGCCGCCGGUCUCUGGCUCCUCGCCGCGGCUAGCUCCGGCCACAUUGGACGAUGGGUAGGAGCCCAUCUUCCGCUGCUUCUCCAUCCUCUGACGCGACUCCUAGGGCACGGCUCCUCCCUCGCAGCAGCUCUUGGUCGGUCUGACCAGGGCACCACUCUGGCGAACGGCGCCCCACUCUGGCCGACGACCGAAUCAGGGGCUGCUGGAGAACACAGAGAAGGAUAGGGUCUGGUGGCUGAUAGGCUCAAGCAUCUCGCGGAGCCAUGAUUUUCCCAGUUGAUGGAUCUGCUUCUUCCAACCAAGCUUUGCGCCAUGGCCGGCAGAGGCUCCACAGGAGGCCCUUAUCUCGCUGCUGUUCGAAAAGCAGAAGCUGCAACCUGCAGAACACAAGGGCUGUUGUGUAUUGCGUCCUCGCCAUGUCUGGACAUCAAGGUUCUUGUCAUCGUCCUGCGUGAGCUGCCAACAACUCAUCCAUCUGACCAACCCAACAUGGUCUGCUUCUUCCAGGACGAGCACCUGAUUGGCGUCGACGUGCGUGCCCGCAAGGUCGUGGGGUGCGAGGUCUAUGAGCUGAUUGAGCGGCCGCCCGAAGACAUCGAUUCCCGCUUCGUUCACACUUGGCCGCUACCACCGGCUCUCUGCUCAGACUUGUGGUGAAGAAGAGCAAGGCCAAGAAAGACUCGAACAAGCCCGAACGCCCCCUGAGCGCCGUCUUAGUCCUCAUAUGGAGAGGGUGCUUAAGGAUGAUGCCAUCCAGGAGAAGGGCGAGCGCACCAGGAUGGUGAUUUGUUUGGAAUUUGGAAGAGGAAGACGAUGAAGCGUGGUGGUUAUCUAUCAAUAUGCCUUGUGUUCUGGUUGUACUUCAUAGCUAGUUACAUUGUAUUGUGUACUGGUCUGGUUGUAUGAACACUAUGUAAAGAUUGUAAUAGGCUAAUUUUGGCUAUCAUUUUAAGUAUAUAGUUCUAUUUCAUUUGAAAUAUUUGUCAUUUGUGUACUGUGAAAAUGUAAGAAAUAGAAAGUUGAUGAGUUGGACU